AACCUCCGCAAUGUGAGAAAUCGCGACGGGGGGAUCCCAAGUGCCAUUCUUAACGGGAUGGCUUUUCAUUAGUGUAAAGAGCUUUUGGAAUAAGAGCUGGGCAAGACCGGUGCCAGCCGCCGCGGUAACACCGGCAGCUCUAGUGGUAGCAAUUUUUAUUGGGCCUAAAGCGUCCGUAGCCGGUUUAAUAAGUCUCUGGUGAAAUCCUGUAGCUUAACUGUGGGAAUUGCUGGAGAUACUAUUAGACUUGAGACCGGGAGAGGUUAGAGGUACUCCCAGGGUAGAGGUGAAAUUCUGUAAUCCUGGGAGGACCGCCUGUUGCGAAGGCGUCUAACUGGAACGGUUCUGACGGUGAGGGACGAAAGUUAGGGCGCGAACCGGAUUAGAUACCCGGGUAGUCCUAACUGUAAACGAUGCGGACUUGGUGUUGGGGUGGCUUUGAGCUGCUCCAGUGCCGAAGGGAGCUGUUAAGCCGUCCGCCGUGGGAGUACGGUCGCAAGACUGAAACUUAAAGGAAUU
RNAcentral lists this ribosomal RNA (519 nucleotides) under uncultured bacterium. Its description in RNAcentral is "bacterial SSU rRNA". It matches the Rfam family "Archaeal small subunit ribosomal RNA", at positions 345 to 866 of the family's 1478-position model. The record is from RNAcentral.